Felis catus (domestic cat) is the source of this 757-nucleotide long non-coding RNA. RefSeq lists it as uncharacterized. The transcript is spliced from 2 exons. Lineage: Eukaryota; Metazoa; Chordata; Mammalia; Carnivora; Felidae. The record is from RefSeq and is a predicted model, not a curated record.
UGUAUUUUGUUCCGAAUACUUGGACGUGGACCGAAAUUUCAGAGAUGUCUACCUCUGGAAACCCAAGCACCAGGCAAAGGAAUCUGCCAGUGUUUGAGAAAGACUAUGAGUGAAGUCAGCAAUGUUUUCCUGUGGUACGGUGCAAGGUUACUCAGUGUUGCCCGCCCACAUCGCUAUCUCCCCCACACACCGUUGCAAACUUUUCUGGACCUCAACAGAAUCAACACUGGGAAGGACCCUUUUCUUUGGCAGAGUUCAAAACACAUGAUGAGGUGCUUUCUGGCUUUUGGAAGCAGCGAGGCUUAGUGAUUUACAGCUGAUCUAAGAUUUGAAACGGACUUCUCUUUUCAACGGAGGGCAUAAGAAACCCAGGCAGCAGCUGGCUUCUAGGAAGAUACUGAGGAUGUCGCCACUACAAUAACCAUGUUGGGCCCUUGUUCCUGUCACCCAGAAACAUAUCCAUGAAGUGAUCCUUCAGGAAUAGCCGUGAAACCCCUGCCUUUGGGAACCAGCCAAGCCAGGGUGUGAUAUUUUUUCCUGUUUAAUUAAAAAAAAAAAAGUUUACCCGUUUGCUUUCGCCAGCUAUCUGAAAGUUCAAAAGGUAAAGAACAUUUCCCUCCACAAAUAAGCCAUGGAAUGUAUUUGGAAAUUGGGUUUUCAUCAGGAGUUGCUGUUUUUCAGCCACUCACUCCACUGCAAAGGAAGGUGAAAUCGUGAACUCUUUCCUGAAAGGAAAAAAAAAAAAAACUCCCGCAAC